AAUGAAUGGAUUGCCCAAAUCCCAUCAUCUGUUUUAACAUAUGCAUAUAUACAUACAUACAUACAUACAUACAUAUAUAUAUAAAUUAUAAUUGUUUGAUGAUCAUGAUCUUUAUAUCUCGUCUUGGAUUUCAGUUUAAUGCAUCUUGCAUUUUGAUAUUUGCAGGUAGAGGGAGGAAGUGAAGUGAGGACUGCAUUAAUGGAGCACAGAAGUGGAGUUUAGAAGGUGAAGAUCUUGCUCAAGACCGCGCACUUUGCUGCUGAAACCCUGCAUCAGGUUUUUGGUGUAUCAUAAUUAACCCUAGCUAUUACAAGAAGAAGAGGAAGAAGAAGAAGAAGAAGAAGAUAGGCCAAAACCUUGAUGCGGGUCUUCAUACAAUAGGUUGCGUGGUCUUGUACAGCAAGAUCUUGCUCCUGCAUCAAUGGGAGAUCCAGGAACACAGACGAAUCCAUCAGUAGACUUGGUCUAUUCCAUCAUAACGGCAGAAACAACGUGCUGACGCUGAAUCCCAAUCAAACAAAAAUUAAACCCAGGGGGCUAUCUUUGGACUGAUCGUCUUCUCCAAUUACAACAGAUGCCGGCGUUGAUAUUCAGAGUCGCGAGUAUUCGUAGCUCUCUAUUCGCACCCAUAAAUCUCCCCCAUUUUCUCUCUUCCAAACCUACCGCUCUUUCUUUGUUCUCAACUCUCCGGACCAGAUCGCAAAUGGAGUCCUACGCCACGUCCUCUGGGUCCUCCAAGCUUCUCUUUCGCCAACUCUUUGAGAAGGAAUCAUGUACUUACACUUACCUUCUCGCCGAUGUCUCUCACCCGGAUAAACCCGCCUUGUUGAUUGACCCUGUAGACAAGAUGGUUGAUAGAGAUUUGAAUCUUAUAAAUGAACUGGGAUUGAAGCUUGUCUAUGCCAUGAACACCCAUGUCCAUGCUGAUCAUAUAACUGGAACCGGGCUUAUUAAGACUAAGGUUCCAGGUGUAAAAUCUGUUAUUUCUAAAGCAAGCGCUUCAAAAGCUGAUGUGUUUCUUGAACCUGGGGAUAAAGUCACGUUUGGUGAUCUCUUCCUGGAGGCCCGUCCUACUCCUGGCCAUACAAUAGGUUGUCUUACCUAUGUUACUGGAGAUGGAGCCGAUCAGCCUCAGCCAAGGAUGGCAUUCACAGGAGACACUUUGUUGAUUCGUGGAUGUGGAAGAACAGAUUUUCAGGGUGGAAAUUCAGAGCAACUCUACGAAUCAGUACAUUCACAGAUCUUCACAUUGCCCAAUGACACAUUGGUUUACCCAGCUCAUGACUACAAGGGUUUCACAGUGAGCACAGUAGGAGAAGAGAGGCAAUACAAUCCACGCCUAACAAAAGAUAAGGAAGGAUUCAAAGCUAUCAUGGAAAAUUUGAAUCUUGCAUAUCCGAAGAUGAUAGAUGUGGCCGUACCUGCAAAUAUGGUCUGUGGGUUGCAAGAUCUGAUAUCCAAAGUCUGAUGCUCGGCUGCACCUGGGUUCUUAUUGUGUUGUCCAACAUCAAAACAUCUAUUUUCAUCGAAUAACAUAUUGAUGGCUCCUGAGUGUGAAAGUUAAAUAAACAAUAUACAGAGAGGUGAAAAUCCAUGGUAAAUGAGCCAAUCUAUAAAUGAUGUCUCUACGAUCAUGAUUGUAAUCAGUAAAUAUCUUUCUUCGAAAGGCUAGUUUUGGUGCAAACGAGAAAUAUACACAAUGUUAAACACAAAACUGUACUAUGUCCUGUUUCUCUUCAGCACUUUCUCAGAAAGCUUUGUGAACAAUGAAUAGACUGAUGGAUGCUAAAGCACUCGAAGAAAGUUUUCAACAUUUAAAAUUCGUAGAAGAUCUGCUUUUUUCAAGCAACCAGUCAACACACUGAUAAUGAGGUUGAUAAGUUUGAUGGGUCAUCCAAGCAUUCUAAAUUGAGAGAGUUGAUGAGUGUUUCAAUGAACCAACUGUUUGGAAAAAUUCAUCUACCAAGCAAUUGGUUUGACAAGAACGUGAAGAGGCUAACUCUGGUUGUGCAAAGUUAUAAAUAUUUUAGGAGAUAACUAGUCUUUGUAUAUAAUAUUUUAAUAUCAGCAAUUGAUAUUUUGGUGUACAUGAAGUAACGUGGAUAUAAACAGGUAUUUGUUCA
Molecule: non-coding RNA, 2123 nt
Organism: Carica papaya (papaya)
Lineage: Eukaryota; Viridiplantae; Streptophyta; Magnoliopsida; Brassicales; Caricaceae
Source: RefSeq, a predicted model, not a curated record